GCAAUAUAAGAACCCGUCUCUUAACUUUUAACUAAAAAAGCUAAGAACCGACUCUCUUAAAUAAGAGUUUUAAGAGCCAGUUUUUAACUUUUUUAGUUAAAAGUUAAGAGACGGGUUCUUAUAUUCC
Non-coding RNA from Brassica napus (rape), 127 nucleotides. Lineage: Eukaryota; Viridiplantae; Streptophyta; Magnoliopsida; Brassicales; Brassicaceae. The record is from Rfam.